ACUUUAUGAGUAUUACGUACAUUUGCCUUCCAAGCAAAAAGUUUGAUUAAUUUCAAAUAAAGUA
This 64-nucleotide transfer RNA is filed under the name Hyperhalosydna striata. RNAcentral describes it as "tRNA-Gly". Lineage: Eukaryota; Metazoa; Annelida; Polychaeta; Phyllodocida; Polynoidae. The record is from RNAcentral.